CCUACGGGAGGCAGCAGUAAGGAAUAUUGGACAAUGGGCGAAAGCCUGAUCCAGCCACGCCGCGUGCAGGAUGAAGGUCCUCUGGAUUGUAAACUGCUUUUGACAGAGACGAACGGUCGGGAUUUAUCUUGAUGUGACGGUAUCUGUCGAAUAAGCACCGGCUAACUACGUGCCAGCAGCCGCGGUAAUACGUAGGGUGCAAGCGUUAUCCGGAUUUACUGGGUUUAAAGGGUCCGCAGGCGGUUUGAUAAGUCAGUGGUGAAAUAACAGGGCUCAACCUUGUUGCUGCCAUUGAUACUGUUGAACUUGAGAUUAGUAGAGGUGGGCGGAAUGUAGCAUGUAGCGGUGAAAUGCGUAGAUAUGCUACAGAACACCGAUUGCGAAGGCAGCUCACUGGACUACAUCUGACGCUAUGGACGAAAGCGUGGGUAGCGAACAGGAUUAGAUACCCUGGUAGUCCACGCCCUAAACGAUGUUUACUCGACAUAUGGACAAUUGGGUGUAUGUGUCUAAGCGAAAGCGUUAAGUAAACCACCUGGGGAGUACGUCGGCAACGAUGAAACUCAAAUGAAUUGACGG
Molecule: ribosomal RNA, 579 nt
Filed under: uncultured bacterium
Lineage: Bacteria
Description: bacterial SSU rRNA
Rfam family: Bacterial small subunit ribosomal RNA
Source: RNAcentral